GAGUCAAGAUUACUUCCCAAAUUUUUUAUUAAUUCUGCAAAUUAGUUCAUAAAACACACUAAACAAAACUAGAAAAAUAACAAACAUUAUUAGCAACAAUUUUGUCAAACAGUUGGUGUGCAACAAUUCUUCACCAUUUCUUCAUCUUCAUUCUCAUCCCAAGACCCAUACAAAAUCGAUCUAGGAGACCCAUAACACCCACCUUGACUUUCCUUAACAAACCCAUAAUACAUCAUCAAACCACCAUUUCCAAGAUCUUCAAAGCUCGAUUCUUUAACACCAUAACCCAUUUCCAUGCAACGAUACAUAAAAUUCAAUGUGUUUGAAACAACUCAACACCCUUUUGACCAGAAGAGUUAAAUCGAUUGAUGAUUGAAACAACUCAACACCCUUACCUAAUAAGCCGCUUAGCACUCACUUUCAAAAUCGAUUAAAGAUGAAGAGGAUUAGUAGUGGUGGAAGAAGAAGUUGUUCGUGGAUUGAAGGAGAAGGAGAAAGAAGAAGUCACGCCGUUUAGGAGCAAAGAGAUAGAGAAGGGCAAAUACGUGAAACUAGUGCGAAGGACCGAGUCAGCUACUUUUUCUUUGAGGACCGAAUCAGUGGUUGUGGACUGAAUCAGGUGUGCAAAGAACUCUAAUCAAACAAGCUGACCAGCUGACCCGGACCGAGUCAGAAAAAAAGGUCUGACUGGACCGAGUUAACUGUAUGUUUGGCAAUUAAAUCAACAAGGAAUCUUACGAUUAACAACAUUAAGGAACAACUUUCUAUUUAGCAUUCUCUUAUGUUGUAAUUAAGAUCACAGGGAGCUCUGUAAUAUGCAGGCAUGGUCGAAGGGAAGAACAUCUGACGUACUCCUUCCGCUUUUAUGAUCGGAAAUAUGAUUCCAGAUGCACCCUGCAUCAUUUUAAUGGUAUGCCAAUUUUUAGAUUUUAGAUUUCAAUUUUAUUAAAAGGGAAAUCUCUGAUAAAAUCCUAAUAUUUUAGGUCAAUUUACGAUUUAGUCCCAAAUUAAAUUUUGUUUACAAAAAUAGACAGAUUACCGGCUAAAACUUCGGAAUAACCCUUCGUGGCCGGUUUCACAGAUUUAGCCGAUAUCUCGUCUUUUUUCGUUAAUUAAUCCAAAUUUUGGGGCUUUUUCAUUAAUUAAUCAAAAUUUUAGGGCUUUUUCAUUAUUUAUUACCAAUAAACCAAAAUAUUUGGACUUUUCUGAAGACUACCUUUAAACUAAUAUAUAUUAUAUGAUCUAACUUAAUAUGUACCAUUCCCUGUCUUCUUUCUUACGCUCUUCUAGGCGCACCGUAUGUUUUUAUUGUCGUCGUCAAACCCAACAACAAAAAUCUCACUCACAAGCAUUGUUAACUCCAUCGAUUUUCCAAAAUCAUCCAUUCAUAACUCUACGAUCAUCUUUCAAUCUCCAAAUGAAGAAAUGAGAAAAUCAUUGUUGAUUAUGUGGAUGCCCCUAUUACCUAACCAUGACUUAAACCAUGGUUCCAAUACUCAGAUGUUCCUAUUACCUAACCAUGACCUGAAUCCUAUUUCGAACCCAUACACUAUUCGUAUUGUCCAUAGUGUUGUUCACAACAAAAUACGAAUCCCACAUGGUUUAACCACUGAUACCUUGGCUCAAGUCUUACAUGACCCUUGUUUCCUUACAAUAGGGCUUGAAAACCAUGAAGAAUGUUAACUCUAAUUGUUAAAAAAAAAAGUCAGCAAGCUAUCCAUCAUAAACUAUUAAAAAUAUUAAUUUGGUAUUCCUACGAGCUACGGUUCCAACACUUGGAUGUUCCUAUAACCUAACCAUGACUCAAACCUUAUUUCGAACCCAUACACUAAGGCAUUGACCAUAGUUUUGUUAACAAGAAAAAUUGAAUCCCACAUGGUUUAACCACUGAUACCUUGGCUCAAGUCUUACUUGACCCUUGUUUCCUUACAAUAUGUGUAACAUCCCAACUCUCAGGUAUAAUAUUUAAUUAAUUUAUAUUCUUGUUGUCUGAUAAACUUGACGAGUUGAAGGCCCCAACUUGCCGAGUAGAGAGUGUUAAUGGUCGCGUAAUUUCUAGAGUCUACUCGACGAGUUGGAGGAUCCCAACUCGACGAGUAGGAGCUAAGUGUGAAAACCCUAAUUUUCAGGGUUUGUGUCCUAUUUAAAGGACAUUAAGCCUUCAUUUUCGCCUCCCUUAUCAUCUUAACACUCUAAGAGAAACCCUAAUCGAGCUAUAUGCUUGUAGGAGAGAAAGAGGGGCUAAUAUUGCAUAUUGUAGUGCAUUUUUGGAAGAAGAUUGAGGAGAAAAAGGCUUGGGACGAGAAGGAGCUCUUGGAUCCAAUGUU
RNAcentral lists this long non-coding RNA (2327 nucleotides) under Lactuca sativa (garden lettuce). RNAcentral's name for it is "long non-coding RNA (LSAT_LNC009566)". The record is from RNAcentral. Lineage: Eukaryota; Viridiplantae; Streptophyta; Magnoliopsida; Asterales; Asteraceae.